This 484-nucleotide ribosomal RNA is filed under the name uncultured bacterium. RNAcentral's name for it is "partial 16S ribosomal RNA". It matches the Rfam family "Bacterial small subunit ribosomal RNA", at positions 30 to 507 of the family's 1533-position model. The record is from RNAcentral.
AUUGAACGCUGGCGGCAGGCCUAACACAUGCAAGUCGAGCGGAUGAAGGGGGCUUGCUCCCGGAUGCAGCGGCGGACGGGUGGGUAAUGCCCAGGAAUCUGCCUGGUCGUGGGGGAUAAGGUGCGGAAACGGGCGCUAAUAUCGCAACCGACGAGAGGGAGAAAGUGGGGGAUCUUCGGACGUCACGGCAUCAGAUGAGCCUAGGACGGAUUAGCGAGUUGGUGGGGUAAAGGCCUACCAAGGCGACGAUCCGUAACUGGUCUGAGGGGACGAUCAGACACACUGGAACUGAGACACGGUCCCGACUCCUACGGGAGGCCGCAGUGGGGAAUCUUCGACAAUGCGCGAAAGCCUGAUCCAGCCCUGCCGCGUGUGUGAUGAAGGUCUUCUGCUUGUAAAGCACUUUAAGUUGGGAGGAAGUACAGUACGUUUAUCCCUUGCUGUUUUGACGUUACCAACAGAAUAAGCACCGGCUAACUUCGUG